This 434-nucleotide ribosomal RNA is filed under the name uncultured bacterium. RNAcentral describes it as "partial 16S ribosomal RNA". It matches the Rfam family "Bacterial small subunit ribosomal RNA", at positions 29 to 507 of the family's 1533-position model. The record is from RNAcentral.
AGCGAACGCUGGCGGCAGGCCUAACACAUGCAAGUCGAACGAACCUUUCGGGGUUAGUGGCGGACGGGUGAGUAACACGUGGGAACGUGCCUUUAGGUUCGGAAUAACUCAGGGAAACUUGUGCUAAUACCGAAUGUGCCCUUCGGGGGAAAGAUUAAUCGCCUUUAGAGCGGCCCGCGUCUGAUUAGCUAGUUGGUUGAGGUAAUGGCUCACCAAGGCGACGAUCAGUAGCUGGUCUGAGAGGAUGAUCAGCCACAUUGGGACUGAGACACGGCCCAAACUCCUACGGGAGGCAGCAGUGGGGAAUCUUGCGCAAUGGGCGAAAGCCUGACGAAGCCAUGACGCGUGAAUGAUGAAGGUCUUAGGAUUGUAAAAUUCUUUCAACGGGGACGAUAAUGACGGUACCCGGAGAAGAAGCCCCGGCUAACUUCGUG